CCUACGGAGGGCAGCAGUGAGGAAUAUUGGUCAAUGGCCGGAAGGCUGAACCAGCCAUGCCGCGUGAAGGUCAGUGCCCUAUGGGCGUUAAACUUCUUUUGUGCGGGAGCAAUAAUGGUCACGUGUGGCCAGACGAGAGUACCGUACGAAUAAGCAUCGGCUAACUCCGUGCCAGCAGCCGCGGUAAUACGGGGGAUGUAAGCGUUAUCCGGAUUUAUUGGGUUUAAAGGGGGGGUAGGCUGGGAGGUAAGUGAGCGGUGAAAUGCCCCCGGUCAACGGGGUGAAGUGCAAUUGAUACUGGCUGGCUGGAAUGCGGAUGCGGUGGGAGGAAUGUGUGGUGUAGCGGUGAAAUGCAUAGAUAUCACACAGAACACCGAUUGCGAAGGCAUCUCACGAAUCCGCGAUUGACGCUGAUGCACGAAAGCGUGGGUAUCAAACAGGAUUAGAUACCCGAGUAGUC
Molecule: ribosomal RNA, 460 nt
Filed under: uncultured bacterium
Lineage: Bacteria
Description: partial 16S ribosomal RNA
Rfam family: Bacterial small subunit ribosomal RNA
Source: RNAcentral